Molecule: ribosomal RNA, 180 nt
Filed under: uncultured bacterium
Lineage: Bacteria
Description: partial 16S ribosomal RNA
Source: RNAcentral
CCUACGGGAGGCAGCAGUAGGAGGCAUCCAUUUUGGUCAGCAAGUAGUUGCCCAAAGUGGGACGGAUCACUGUCGCGUGGAGAUAAAAGGUCGACGGGUCAUGUAUUCAUCAGCGGAGAAGAAACAAGACGAAAUGGACUAAGAAGCUCCGGCUAACUACUUGCCAGCCGCCGCGGUAAU